This 253-nucleotide ribosomal RNA is filed under the name uncultured bacterium. RNAcentral's name for it is "partial 16S ribosomal RNA". It matches the Rfam family "Bacterial small subunit ribosomal RNA", at positions 524 to 776 of the family's 1533-position model. The record is from RNAcentral.
UACAGAGACUGCAAGCGUUAUUCGGAUUCACUGGGCGUAAAGGGUGCGCAGGCGGCCAAGUGUGUGAGGCGUGAAAGCCCGGGGCUUAACCCCGGAAUUGCACCUCAAACUACUUGGCUAGAGCAUUGGAGAGGGUAGCAGAAUUCAUGGUGUAGCAGUGAAAUGCGUAGAUAUCAUGAGGAAUACCAGAGGCGAAGGCGGCUACCUGGACAAUUGCUGACGCUCAGGCACGAAAGCGUGGGGAGCAAACGGG